GAUGAACGCUGGCGGCGUGCCUAAUACAUGCAAGUCGAGCGAACGGACGAGAAGCUUGCUUUUCUGAUGUUAGCGGCGGACGGGUGAGUAACACGUGGAUAACCUACCUAUAAGACUGGGAUAACUUCGGGAAACCGGAGCUAAUACCGGAUAAUAUUUUGAACCGCAUGGUUCAAAAGUGAAAGACGGUCUUGCUGUCACUUAUAGAUGGAUCCGCGCUGCAUUAGCUAGUUGGUAAGGUAACGGCUUACCAAGGCAACGAUGCAUAGCCGACCUGAGAGGGUGAUCGGCCACACUGGAACUGAGACACGGUCCAGACUCCUACGGGAGGCAGCAGUAGGGAAUCUUCCGCAAUGGGCGAAAGCCUGACGAAGCAACGCCGCGUGAGUGAUGAAGGUCUUCGGAUCGUAAAACUCUGUUAUUAGGGAAGAACAUAUGUGUAAGUAACUGUGCACAUCUUGACGGUACCUAAUCAGAAAGCCACGGCUAACUACGUGCCAGCAGCCGCGGUAAUACGUAGGUGGCAAGCGUUAUCCGGAAUUAUUGGGCGUAAAGCGCGCGUAGGCGGUUUUUUAAGUCUGAUGUGAAAGCCCACGGCUCAACCGUGGAGGGUCAUUGGAAACUGGAAAACUUGAGUGCAGAAGAGGAAAGUGGAAUUCCAUGUGUAGCGGUGAAAUGCGCAGAGAUAUGGAGGAACACCAGUGGCGAAGGCGACUUUCUGGUCUGUAACUGACGCUGAUGUGCGAAAGCGUGGGGAUCAAACAGGAUUAGAUACCCUGGUAGUCCACGCCGUAAACGAUGAGUGCUAAGUGUUAGGGGGUUUCCGCCCCUUAGUGCUGCAGCUAACGCAUUAAGCACUCCGCCUGGGGAGUACGACCGCAAGGUUGAAACUCAAAGGAAUUGACGGGGACCCGCACAAGCGGUGGAGCAUGUGGUUUAAUUCGAAGCAACGCGAAGAACCUUACCAAAUCUUGACAUCCUUUGACAACUCUAGAGAUAGAGCUUUCCCCUUCGGGGGACAAAGUGACAGGUGGUGCAUGGUUGUCGUCAGCUCGUGUCGUGAGAUGUUGGGUUAAGUCCCGCAACGAGCGCAACCCUUAAGCUUAGUUGCCAUCAUUAAGUUGGGCACUCUAAGUUGACUGCCGGUGACAAACCGGAGGACGGUGGGGAUGACGUCAAAUCAUCAUGCCCCUUAUGAUUUGGGCUACACACGUGCUACAAUGGACAAUACAAAGGGCAGCGAAACCGCGAGGUCAAGCAAAUCCCAUAAAGUUGUUCUCAGUUCGGAUUGUAGUCUGCAACUCGACUACAUGAAGCUGGAAUCGCUAGUAAUCGUAGAUCAGCAUGCUACGGUGAAUACGUCCCCGGGUCU
RNAcentral lists this ribosomal RNA (1372 nucleotides) under uncultured bacterium. RNAcentral describes it as "bacterial SSU rRNA". It matches the Rfam family "Bacterial small subunit ribosomal RNA", at positions 28 to 1381 of the family's 1533-position model. The record is from RNAcentral.